This 772-nucleotide long non-coding RNA is filed under the name Rattus norvegicus (Norway rat). RNAcentral describes it as "long non-coding RNA NONRATT028897". The record is from RNAcentral. Lineage: Eukaryota; Metazoa; Chordata; Mammalia; Rodentia; Muridae.
CAUCUUAUAUUAUUUUAUCAUCAUCAUCAUCAUCAUCAUCAUCAUCAUCAUCAUCGUUGUAUAGGGUUAUUCAUCAGAGCCUGGUACUCAUUUAUAGACAGGAUAUCCAGAAAGUCCCAGGAUCCACCUGUCUCUGCCUCCCUAGUUCUGAGAGAGAAGCAUCGGCCUCCAUGCCUAGCAUUUUGCCUAAGAUCUGAUCUGAGGAUCAAAUUGGUUUUAAUGCUUAUACAGCAAGCACUUUACCAAAUGAGUUCUUUUGCCAGGCCAGCUCCAAUCUUUCCCAGUGUGUUUCUUGUGUGCUUGGCUGUUUCUAGGUGAAAAUCCCCCCACCCCCACUUUUUAAAAAAUAUUUAUUUGAUAUAUGUGAGUAAACUCUCACUGUCUUUAGACACUCCGGAAGAAGGCAUCAGAUCCCAUUACAGAUGGUUGUGAGCCACCAUGCGGUGGCUGGGAAUUGAACUCAGGACCUCUGGAAAAGCAGUCAGUGCUCUUAACCUCUAACCCAUCUCUCCAGCACCCUCACCCCCUUUUAAAAUAUUAGUUUUUAUUUUAUGUGUUUGGAUAUUUUUGGCUGCAUGGAUGCCUUUGUUCCAUGUCUAGGUACCAUGCCUGUGCAGUGUCCACAGAAGCCAGAAGAAGAUGCCAGAUCCCCUUAGAACAGAAAUUAUAGAUAGUUGUGAGCCACCACGUAGGUGCUUGGAAUUGAACUGUGGUCCUCUAGAAGAGCAGUCAGUGCUCUUAACCACUGAGCCAUCCCUCCACCCCCCGUCUC